This 253-nucleotide ribosomal RNA is filed under the name uncultured bacterium. RNAcentral's name for it is "partial 16S ribosomal RNA". It matches the Rfam family "Bacterial small subunit ribosomal RNA", at positions 524 to 776 of the family's 1533-position model. The record is from RNAcentral.
UACGUAGGGGGCAGGCGUUGUCCGGAAUCAUUGGGCGUAAAGCGCGUGUAGGCGGUCCGGUAAGUCCGCUGUGAAAGUCGGGGGCUCAACCCUCGGAUGCCGGUGGAUACUGUCGGGCUUGAGUACGGAAGAGGCGAGUGGAAUUCCUGGUGUAGCGGUGAAAUGCGCAGAUAUCAGGAGGAACACCAAUUGCGAAGGCAGCUCGCUGGGACGUUACUGACGCUGAGACGCGAAAGCGUGGGGAGCAAACAGG